RNAcentral lists this long non-coding RNA (241 nucleotides) under Brassica rapa (field mustard). RNAcentral describes it as "long non-coding RNA (BRAP_LNC007409)". The record is from RNAcentral. Lineage: Eukaryota; Viridiplantae; Streptophyta; Magnoliopsida; Brassicales; Brassicaceae.
AAAUUUUGAUUUUUUUUUUUUGAAUUUUAAAGGUAAAAUAUCCCAACUAUGUUUACUUAAUGUAGAAACUCCUAAACUAAAGAUUUACCAGUCGUAAUGGUAAUUAUGACAUGUUAGAGUUUAAUUCAUUAAAUAAAGUUAGUUUGAAGUUUUUUCGUUAAAUACUUAGUUUGAGAGUUUUUACCCAAAACAAACUUAGUUGAAGGGUUUAACAAUAAAAAUCCUUUCUUUUUCUCUGAUC